AUUGAACGCUGGCGGCAGGCCAAACACAUGCAAGUCGAGCGAGCGGCGGACGGGUGAGUAAUGUCUGUGGAACUCCCUCUUGGAGGGGGAUAAAUACGGGAAACGGUAGCUAAUACCGCAUACCCUCUGAUGUGAGCCGAUGGGAUUUGCGAGUAGGUGGGGUAACGGCUCACCUAGGCGACGAUCCCUAGCUGGUCUGAGAGGAUGACCAGCCACACUGGAACUGAGACACGGUCCAGACUCCUACGGGAGGCAGCAGUGGGGAAUAUUGCACAAUGGGCGCAAGCCUGAUGCAGCCAUGCCGCGUGUGUGAAGAAGGCCUUCGGGUUGUAAAGCACUUUCAGCGGGGAGGCGUUACCCGCAGAAGAAGCACCGGCUAACUCCGUGCCAGCAGCCGCGGUAAUAC
RNAcentral lists this ribosomal RNA (406 nucleotides) under uncultured bacterium. RNAcentral's name for it is "partial 16S ribosomal RNA". It matches the Rfam family "Bacterial small subunit ribosomal RNA", at positions 30 to 526 of the family's 1533-position model. The record is from RNAcentral.